UCUCUUACCCUGUAAUGAAGAAAAGGUUUCC
This 31-nucleotide non-coding RNA is filed under the name Mus musculus (house mouse). Lineage: Eukaryota; Metazoa; Chordata; Mammalia; Rodentia; Muridae. The record is from RNAcentral.